UGGAUAUGGCGGCCUUGCCCUCUUCGUCGUCUUCCCUCAUCCAAUCCUUCCAGCAGCGGCGGCGGCGGCGGCGGCGAUCCCUCGCAGCACGGCGCGGAGAUCCUUGGGUCAGCUCCAUCGCUCGCGGUGGUGAAGAGCGUGAGAACUACAUUCACGAGCACAAACAACCUCCAGGACCUGGCCGAGCGGCGAAGCAUUGUGUGCAACAAUGCGGACUUGGAGAGAACUGAUAUGUUGGGUAAGAGAAACCUCCUCCUUUUUCUUAGAGUGAGUUUCGUGGAUUUUCGAGAGAGGGGAGCUCGCAUUCUAGGCUCCAGUUUUCGGGAGGAGAGCUAGCAUAGUUUCCUCUAGGGAGAGCUAGCAUCUUUCAUAGCUUACUUCUAGAUCCGGAGUUCUUUCGAUUAGAAGUUUGAGUAUCGGGGUCUAGUUUUUCGACGAGAACCUACUAUGUUUUUGGCGAGUAUCCAAGCCCAAGCUGCCAUCCUCGUCCUCGACUUCCAGAGGAAGUGGCCUCAGCAAGCCUUCCGGAUCUCGCCAGCGCUCAAAUCCUUCCUGGCCAAACGAGACCGAGAUGGUACGUCCUCCAGGUAUUUUUUUUCUUUUCUGGAUCGAUCCAACUCUUUUUUCGAUGGAUUGAUCUAUAGGACCAGGCGAGCGAUUUGCGCCGCCAAGCUCUGAGAAUUUUGCUCCAGUGUGAAUCCCGCUUUUCCUCAAGGAGAGAUUAAAACAAAGGUAUUCCGGGGUUUAAGAGGAAAGAGUGGAUAAAUUUUGUACAUAUGGUUUAACCUCAUCCCUUUGUUUUCUUUUUCUAGAAGGUAGAUAAAUAUCGUGAAAAAGUAAUUCGAAAAACAUGACCUAGUU
This is a long non-coding RNA of Selaginella moellendorffii, 861 nucleotides long. RefSeq lists it as uncharacterized. The record is from RefSeq and is a predicted model, not a curated record. The transcript has 2 exons. NCBI's taxonomy places the organism in Eukaryota, Viridiplantae, Streptophyta, Lycopodiopsida, Selaginellales, Selaginellaceae.